GACCUCGGAUCAGGUAGGAAUACCCGCUGAACUUAAGCAUAUCAAUAAGCGGAGGAAAAGAAACCAACAGGGAUUGCCCUAGUAACGGCGAGUGAAGCGGCAACAGCUCAAAUUUGAAAUCUGGCCUUCCGGUCCGAAUUGUAAUUUGCAGAGGAUGCUUUUGGCGCGGUGCCUUCCGAGUUCCCUGGAACGGGACGCCUUAGAGGGUGAGAGCCCCGUACGGUUGGACACUAAGCCUCUGUAAAGCUCCUUCGACGAGUCGAGUAGUUUGGGAAUGCUGCUCUAAAUGGGAGGUAAAUUUCUUCUAAAGCUAAAUACCGGCCAGAGACCGAUAGCGCACAAGUAGAGUGAUCGAAAGAUGAAAAGCACUUUGAAAAGAGGGUUAAAUAGCACGUGAAAUUGUUGAAAGGGAAGCGUUUACGGCCAGACCUUUUCCUGGCGGAUCAUCUGGUGUUCUCACCAGUGCACUUCGUCAGGUUUAGGCCAGCAUCGGCUUCUGCAGGGGGAUAAAAGCAGUGGGAAGUAGCUCUCUUGGGAAGUGUAAUAGCCCUAAGCAUAAUACCCUUGCGGGGG
Molecule: ribosomal RNA, 573 nt
Filed under: uncultured Xylariales
Lineage: Eukaryota; Fungi; Ascomycota; Sordariomycetes; Xylariales
Description: eukaryotic LSU rRNA
Rfam family: Eukaryotic large subunit ribosomal RNA
Source: RNAcentral